UACGGAGGGUGCGAGCGUUGUUCGGAAUCACUGGGCGUAAAGCGCGUGUAGGCGGCCCACUAAGUCUGAUGUGAAAGCCCGGGGCUCACCCCCGGAAGUGCAUUGGAAACUGGUGGACUCGAGUCCCGGAGAGGAGAGUGGAAUUCCUGGUGUAGCGGUGAAAUGCGCAGAUAUCAGGAGGAACACCGGUGGCGAAGGCGGGUCUCUGGGCAGUAACUGACGCUGAGGAGCGAAAGCGUGGGGAGCGAACAGG
RNAcentral lists this ribosomal RNA (253 nucleotides) under uncultured bacterium. RNAcentral's name for it is "partial 16S ribosomal RNA". It matches the Rfam family "Bacterial small subunit ribosomal RNA", at positions 524 to 776 of the family's 1533-position model. The record is from RNAcentral.